This 273-nucleotide ribosomal RNA is filed under the name uncultured Staphylococcus sp. Its description in RNAcentral is "partial 16S ribosomal RNA". It matches the Rfam family "Bacterial small subunit ribosomal RNA", at positions 88 to 354 of the family's 1533-position model. The record is from RNAcentral. Lineage: Bacteria; Bacillati; Bacillota; Bacilli; Caryophanales; Staphylococcaceae.
UACGUUAGCGGCGGACGGGUAGUAACACGUGGGUAACCUACCUAUAAGACUGGGACAACUUCGGGAAACCGGAGCUAAUACCGGAUAAGAUAUCGAACCGCAUGGUUCGAUAGUGAAAGAUGGUUUUGCUAUCACUUAUAGAUGGACCCGCGCCGUAUUAGCUAGUUGGUGAGGUAACGGCUCACCAAGGCAACGAUACGUAGCCGACCUGAGAGGGUGAUCGGCCACACUGGAACUGAGACACGGUCCAGACUCCUACGGGAGGCAGCAGGG